UACGUAGGGUGCGAGCGUUGUCCGGAAUUAUUGGGCGUAAAGGGCUCGUAGGCGGUUUGUCGCGUCGGGAGUGAAAACCUUGGGCUUAACUCAGGGCUUGCUUUCGAUACGGGCAGACUAGAGGUAUGCAGGGGAGAACGGAAUUCCUGGUGUAGCGGUGAAAUGCGCAGAUAUCAGGAGGAACACCGGUGGCGAAGGCGGGUCUCUGGGCAGUAACUGACGCUGAGGCACGAAGGCCAGGGGAGCAAACGGG
This 253-nucleotide ribosomal RNA is filed under the name uncultured bacterium. RNAcentral's name for it is "partial 16S ribosomal RNA". It matches the Rfam family "Bacterial small subunit ribosomal RNA", at positions 524 to 776 of the family's 1533-position model. The record is from RNAcentral.